This 495-nucleotide ribosomal RNA is filed under the name uncultured bacterium. RNAcentral describes it as "partial 16S ribosomal RNA". It matches the Rfam family "Bacterial small subunit ribosomal RNA", at positions 29 to 506 of the family's 1533-position model. The record is from RNAcentral.
AUGAACGCUGGCGGCGUGCCUAAUACAUGCAAGUCGAGCGAACGGACGAGAAGCUUGCUUCUCUGAUGUUAGCGGCGGACGGGUGAGUAACACGUGGAUAACCUACCUAUAAGACUGGGAUAACUUCGGGAAACCGGAGCUAAUACCGGAUGAUAUUUUGAACCGCAUGGUUCAAAAGUGAAAGACGGUCUUGCUGUCACUUAUAGAUGGAUCCGCGCUGCAUUAGCUAGUUGGUAAGGUAACGGCUUACCAAGGCAACGAUGCAUAGCCGACCUGAGAGGGUGAUCGGCCACACUGGAACUGAGACACGGUCCAGACUCCUACGGGAGGCAGCAGUAGGGAAUCUUCCGCAAUGGGCGAAAGCCUGACGGAGCAACGCCGCGUGAGUGAUGAAGGUCUUCGGAUCGUAAAACUCUGUUAUUAGGGAAGAACAUAUGUGUAAGUAACUGUGCACAUCUUGACGGUACCUAAGCAGAAAGCCACGGCUAACUACGU